GAUGAAGAACGUAGCGAAAUGCGAUAAGUAAUGUGAAUUGCAGAAUUCAGUGAAUCAUCGAAUCUUUGAACGCACAUUGCGCCCCCUGGUAUUCCGGGGGGCAUGCCUGUUCGAGCGUCAUUUCACCACUCAAGCCUCGUUUGGUAUUGGGCAACGCGGUCCGCCGCGUGCCUCAAAUCGACCGGCUGGGUCUUCUGUCCCCUAAGCGUUGUGGAAACUAUUCGCUAAAGGGUGUUCGGGAGGCUACGCCGUAAAACAACCCCAUUUCUAAGGUUGACCUCGGAUCAGGUAGGGAUACCCGCUGAACUUAAGCAUAUCAAUAAGCGGAGGA
RNAcentral lists this unclassified non-coding RNA (331 nucleotides) under soil metagenome. RNAcentral describes it as "partial contains 5.8S ribosomal RNA, internal transcribed spacer 2, and large subunit ribosomal RNA". The stretch from base 1 to 120 matches the Rfam family "5.8S ribosomal RNA", at positions 35 to 154 of the family's 154-position model. The record is from RNAcentral.